UAGGGAAUCUUCGGCAAUGGGGGGAACCCUGACCGAGCAACGCCGCGUGAGUGAAGAAGGUUUUCGGAUCGUAAAGCUCUGUUGUUAAGGAAGAACGAGUGUGAGAAUGGAAAGUUCAUACUGUGACGGUACUUAACCAGAAAGGGACGGCUAACUACGUGCCAGCAGCCGCGGUAAUACGUAGGUCCCGAGCGUUGUCCGGAUUUAUUGGGCGUAAAGCGAGCGCAGGCGGUUAGAAAAGUCUGAAGUGAAAGGCAGUGGCUCAACCAUUGUAAGCUUUGGAAACUGUUUAACUUGAGUGCAGUAGGGGAGAGUGGAAUUCCAUGUGUAGCGGUGAAAUGCGUAGAUAUAUGGAGGAACACCGGUGGCGAAAGCGGCUCUCUGGUCUGUAACUGACGCAGAGGCUCGAAAGCGUGGGGAGCGAACAGG
RNAcentral lists this ribosomal RNA (429 nucleotides) under Bacteroidota bacterium. RNAcentral describes it as "Bacteroidetes bacterium partial 16S ribosomal RNA". It matches the Rfam family "Bacterial small subunit ribosomal RNA", at positions 355 to 776 of the family's 1533-position model. Lineage: Bacteria; Pseudomonadati; Bacteroidota. The record is from RNAcentral.